AAAUUGAAGAGUUUGAUCAUGGCUCAGAUUGAACGCUGGCGGCAGGCCUAACACAUGCAAGUCGAGCGGAAACGAGUUAUCUGAACCUUCGGGGGACGAUAACGGCGUCGAGCGGCGGACGGGUGAGUAAUGCCUAGGAAAUUGCCCUGGUGUGGGGGAUAACCAUUGGAAACGAUGGCUAAUACCGCAUAAUACCUACGGGUCAAAGAGGGGGACCUUCGGGCCUCUCGCGUCAGGAUAUGCCUAGGUGGGAUUAGCUAGUUGGUGAGGUAAUGGCUCACCAAGGCGACGAUCCCUAGCUGGUCUGAGAGGAUGAUCAGCCACACUGGAACUGAGACACGGUCCAGACUCCUACGGGAGGCAGCAGUGGGGAAUAUUGCACAAUGGGCGCAAGCCUGAUGCAGCCAUGCCGCGUGUGUGAAGAAGGCCUUCGGGUUGUAAAGCACUUUCAGUCGUGAGGAAGGUAGUGUAGUUAAUAGCUGC
This 483-nucleotide ribosomal RNA is filed under the name Vibrio harveyi. RNAcentral describes it as "bacterial SSU rRNA". It matches the Rfam family "Bacterial small subunit ribosomal RNA", at positions 1 to 469 of the family's 1533-position model. The record is from RNAcentral. Lineage: Bacteria; Pseudomonadati; Pseudomonadota; Gammaproteobacteria; Vibrionales; Vibrionaceae.